CCGGUCGUCGUCUCUUCGGCGAUCUCUCUCUGUCGCUCUCUUCAAGGUCAACAACACCUAUUAUCGUCACCUCCCCUCGACGUCGAGUCUGAGCUGUUGGCAUCACCGCUGCGAAGGGCUGCUCUGUCGUCGUCGCUGCUCGAUUUGUUAGUGUCCGUCUCUCUCUUCGAGUUUUCUCUUUGUCUGAGGAUGGCUGAUUACUCUUGAGAAUUCAGGGGAAAAUAAUGUUGUUGCUGCCUCUGUGUUAAUUGGAGAACUUGACUUAUUUGAACUUGUCACAUGCUGGAUUUGUGGGAAAAUAAUGUUGUUGCUGCCUCUGUGUUACAUGCUUGGUUACUCUUGAUCUUUCACUAUCUUUCGACAUGAAUGGUUCAAUGCUUUGUUGUUACUGCCUCACCUCCAAGAAUUGACAUUUUCUCCAGAGAUCUUCCAUAUUGACAUCCCAGUAACUCAAGACCUCCAUGGUUUCUUUUUGGACUUUCCACUCAAUGGAUCUCUUCAUACCAUAAUAGUAGGUCACACAAACUU
Non-coding RNA from Arachis ipaensis, 528 nucleotides. The record is from RefSeq and is a predicted model, not a curated record. NCBI's taxonomy places the organism in Eukaryota, Viridiplantae, Streptophyta, Magnoliopsida, Fabales, Fabaceae.